UUUUUAUGGAUAAUAUUCGAUUUUUAAGGUGUCGGUCAAAUUAUAAUAUCCUCAUUGUAUGGACCAGCUGCAUAAAAUUAUUACUACUUGCACACCGGAUGCCUGCAACUACUCCACGUGAAUCACUUCAUGCUAUACGGGCCUGGCCCGCCAAAAUGUUACCUAUGUAAAUUGGUGUGUUUCCUAGGUAGUUUGGAAUGCCACGCAAAUUCUGACGAGCUACAUAAUGAUGAUAAUAUGUGGAUGUGUACAUGUGUGUUUUAGACUCAUCUAUAAUAGCAGUUUAUCAUUAGGACCGGUUGACCUAAUAAUAUGGUCGCUUGCGCACUUACUUGGUGUACUGACUCA
Molecule: non-coding RNA, 348 nt
Organism: Cinara cedri
Lineage: Eukaryota; Metazoa; Arthropoda; Insecta; Hemiptera; Aphididae
Source: the annotation of a GenBank genome assembly